This is a small nuclear RNA of Hyaena hyaena (striped hyena), 105 nucleotides long. The record is from RefSeq and is a predicted model, not a curated record. Lineage: Eukaryota; Metazoa; Chordata; Mammalia; Carnivora; Hyaenidae.
GUGCCUACUUUGGCAGCAUGUGUGGUAAAAUGGAACACACAGAGAAGACUGGCAUGGCCCCCGCGCAAGGAUGAUGCGCAAAUUCGUGAAGCAUUUUCGAUUUUA